GCCCCCUUAGUUAAAUGGAUAUAACAAACCCCUCCUAAGGGUUAGUUGUGCGUUCGAUUCGCGCAGGGGGUGCCA
Molecule: transfer RNA, 75 nt
Filed under: Oscillospiraceae bacterium
Lineage: Bacteria; Bacillati; Bacillota; Clostridia; Eubacteriales; Oscillospiraceae
Description: tRNA-Arg
Rfam family: tRNA
About the family: Transfer RNA (tRNA) molecules are approximately 80 nucleotides in length.
Source: RNAcentral